Molecule: long non-coding RNA, 1304 nt
Organism: Piliocolobus tephrosceles (Ugandan red Colobus)
Lineage: Eukaryota; Metazoa; Chordata; Mammalia; Primates; Cercopithecidae
Exons: 5
Source: RefSeq, a predicted model, not a curated record
GGUGGCUUUCUAAAGACUGCUGUCCACAGUGUAAUGGGAUCCAGCUGCUGCCGAAGACAGUUACCUGAAGGAGGCCCCACAGUCUCCUUAGGCCUUGGGCCUCCAGAUCCCAUGGCUUCUCCCUGCGGGUCCAUAUCUUCCACAGAUUCAGGGAACCCCCAGACAGAGCGAUAGAGUGAAACUCGUGGUUGAAGGACUUUGGAGUGAAAGAUAUGUGGGUUAUAAGCCCAAUUCACAGCUUUGCUAGCUGUGUGACUUUGGGAAAGUUAGUUAACCUCUCCGUAGAGAGCCUCAGUUUUCUCAUCUGUAAAAUGGUGACAGAAAGUACCUACCUUGUCAUGAAGAUUAAAUAAAACCAUGUAAAUGGGAGAUUUGGCACAGUACCUGGCACACCACAAGCUUUUGGUAAACAGGAACUGAUGAUUUUGUGACCACUGAGUGACAGCAGAUAUUGGAGAACCUCCAGGUCUCACAUACUCAAAAAGUGGAAAGGGAGGUGGAGGCUCCAACUUCUGCACCUCGGCCAGAAGAACAAGGACGCUGACCCAUUCCCACCGAGGUGGCACCUGUUGAUAACUGCUCCCACGUGGUCAGAAGGCGGAGUGUCCUGUGCCAACCAGAGCACCACACAGGCCACGUGCAUCUUCUGGGGGCUGACUCCAAGGAUGGCUGAGGAUGGCUGACGGUUUGCUGCAGCUUCUGGGUCCUGACGGUUUGCUUGCGGUCAGAGUCUGGGUCCCUUUUCCUUCCCCAGGAUCCACACUGGGGUAGGGGCUCCUUCUUUACAGACCCCAAAACACAAAUGGUCUCCUUACUCCUGUGUCUGAAAGUCCCCAGAAAGCUGCUCCCCUCUGCCACCCCCAGACCCACCCUCCACAGUAAACCCCAGUGCUGAGGCACCUAACUGAGGACUACCAAGGUAACUUCUGCACAGAACAGAGGAAAAAAAUGGUCUAUAUGGGAUGUCCUGCCGUAUUUUUUUCUUCUCAGUAACUAGGCAGCGAGGAGAAGUCAAAGUGAAGCCAGCAUCCAGCGGUGGAGUCUUUGCCUUUUCUCUUUAUGCUCCAGGUGCACUAGAGGACGGAUGCGGCUUUGCUGACAGAGAGUCUGCGGCCUGGACAUGCCAGCGGUGCAGGUCUGAGGUUUGAGCUCCGCUAGAUCCCUGCAGGAUAAUCAGUGCUUACACCCAUUUGACAGGCCCAGCUCUGUCCAUCCAGCUGUCUGUACAGCCUUCCUCAGAACGUCCACCACAGGAAGCAAACUCUAACCCACCCACUCCCACUUGGAAGCUGUGGACACAUCCC